Molecule: transfer RNA, 75 nt
Filed under: Elusimicrobia bacterium GWA2_51_34
Lineage: Bacteria; Pseudomonadati; Elusimicrobiota
Also listed under: 3 other names
Description: tRNA-Val
Rfam family: tRNA
About the family: Transfer RNA (tRNA) molecules are approximately 80 nucleotides in length. Their secondary structure includes four short double-helical elements and three loops (D, anti-codon, and T loops).
Source: RNAcentral
GGGCGGUUAGCUCAGCGGUAGAGCACUGUCCUCACACGACAGGGGCCACAGGUUCAAAUCCUGUACCGCCCACCA